ACUUCAGGUAGAGCCUCUUGAAAACAGUGGAGGUGUGGUGCAGGUGUUUCAGAAUACUGUCCUUAGUCAGAGGAAUAUUGUGAUGUGGGGCAAAUGUUCCGUCGUCCGGUGGUUCUUGAGUAUAGUGCUUACCUUCAUGCCUCGUAUCUUGGAACACUUUGGUCGCUCGGGCGGUAAGAAGAGUUUUCAAAGGUCACAGGGAUGGUUAGUCGAGUGUGGUUUUCCUAUCAGUGAUGCGAGGGUCGUGUUAACUUAUCACCAGGAUCAUGAAAACUUCCUUGAAAUCCCGUGUAACUUGCCCCACAGCUUGUUGCAAGUGGUCGAGGUAGGAGAAGAGUACUUUAUUUUAUUUGUUUACAGAUUUUUCUUGUAUUCAUGAAAACCACCUUUGAGAACCAACGUAACUAGCACCGGAGUCUGCUGUCAGUAGUCCAGUUAAGAGAAUGGUGUUCUGAAGUAAAUAAGUAAAUAGCAAACGAGUAAUUUCCUCAUUUAUUGAUAGAUUUUCUUCUAUUUCAUGAAAACCAUCGUAAAAACCCAAGUAACUUGCACGUAGAGCUAUAAGUAGUCGAGGUAGGACAAUAGCGUCCCUGAGUAAAUAGCAGGUUGAGUCAUUCUUUGAUUUACUGGUAGAUAUUCCUGCAUUUCUCUUAAGAUCAUAAUCAGAAGUAACAGAGAAUCACUGCUCUUACCCGCACUAGCAUCAGACACCAAUAUUCUUCGCUAAAACCACACAAUCGUUCAUACAGAUCAUAUUUCCUCCAUGUGCACGAUGCAAAAGAGCCUCAUUUCCAUUCAAGUAUCGCCAGAAACACUCCAGGGCGCGAGGGCGGCCGCCUGGGACACCGGUAAAGCAAAUAACGUUGACUUUAUCAGCGGCGGGAGCAGCCUUUGCACGCGGGACUGGUUUGCCGAAAGUGUUGCGCUUCCUUAUUUGUGCUUAAAGAGACGAAGGCUAAAAGACCCAUCUGGAGAUUUAUGUGACCCUUGAUUAGUCCUUACAGGGUGCGAGGGAGUACCCUGCCUCACCCAUGCACCCAGCACACCCUCACACUGAUCUGGUGGUACUGCUCCUCGUGUGUGUGUGUGUGUGUAUGUGUGCAGGCUGCGGGCGGGUGUCGUUAACCCUGGCGCUCCCACAGAAAGUAUAGGCAAGUUUGAUCGUAAGUUGUAAUCUGCACAUCUUUAAGAGAGGCACUAAUUCUGUGUGCUCACUUUAUUAACUGCAUCCCCCAAUACAAGGCUGCGGAUUAUACAGCAGACGUGUAGCCGCUUAUUCUCCAGUUCCUGUAAAGACCGGGUAGACUCUUCAUUACAUUAGGGGGUAAGAAAGUGCUCAGUUUUCUUACAUGCUUAGGGUGGCGGUGGUCGCGCGUGUAGUAGUCAGUGCAAAGUUGUUUAUUCUUGGAGUGUGGCGGGUAAACAAGCUUCUGUCUCGCUGCGGAUCUGUUUGUGUGACAGAUGGCUGGGUUGUUUAUAUUGGCCGCAAAUUGUUCUCGGCUCUCAGUCCUCGCCGCCUCGUUUGUUUCCGUCAUGCCACGAGGCCUUGGGAGGAGGCAGCAGCGGAGUGUUUAGGGAAGAGGAACUGAAGGAGGAGGCUCAUCAUUUGCGGCGCGGGGUAAAGGGAAGGAAGAUGAUUGUCAGGCCUUAGUGGGAGAAACAAUCACAUGCAGCGUCUUCACUAAUUGUGCUCCUUGGCUCUGUUGUUCGCUUGAAAGGAAAACGGUCAUUAGUUAUUCAAAAUCGCUUUACUUCUCUUCAUUUUCUCCUUUCGUCUGUACCUCCACUUCUUCCCGCCUUCUCUCGAGCCUCAGCGUGUUGGCGGGAGGGUGGAAAUCCUUGUCACCCGUUCCUUCUCCUCCUCCUCCUUCUCCUCCUCUUCUUCCUCCUGGUUGUGUCCUCGCCUUAGUGUCAGGAGGGUAAAUAGAACCUGCGUCUCUCUUUCUAUAUAUUUUAUCCAGCGGGGACCUACAUCUGGCAGCAACGUUUUACAACAGGAAUCGAUUUUUAAGCAACCUUUUCAAAGUGUUGCUGACUGGGCGAUCAUCGAGAUUUAGCACAGCUCUCUUAUUUUGGCGGGUUUUAUAACGUUCCCGAAAGCCAGGGUACGGUUUUUUAAAGUAUUUAUUGCAUUAUUUCAGGACAUAUCGAAUGGUCUGACUUUCCUCCGUGUGUAUCAUUGAUUUUACGCGCUCGGGGAAGCUGAGGAAGCUGUGGUUAACUGGGGAGUAAUGACAGGCCACAGGAGUCUUUGAGCCUGCUUGAAUUGCCGUGGCGUGGGGAAAUAGCAGGAAUUGCACUCCCCGCAGGUCACAAUGAGGUCUUUGGAUAUACUGAUGGGGCAGCAGCGGCGGACGGCAUCACUUGCGUACACUCCCGGACCCCCGUCAGUGAGCGCGCACCUCGCCUCGCCCUGCCAGCAAUAGAUGGCACUGGCUGCCGCUCCUCCCGCACCUCGCAUCCUGGCCGGGUACGAUGCUUCCAAAUGAAUCCUUAAUUAUUACUGUCCUUUCCAUCUUAUCGUAACUUAUUAUAGCAUCAGGUUAUGGAGGAGUAAAAGACGGAGGUGAUGCGAGGUGUGUGGGUUGAGUAGAGUGAGGUGGGAGCGCGUGAGAAGUGCGAGAUAAGUGGUAAUCGUGCGGGGUGGCGGGGCGCGAGCGGGAGGCGGCGGUGAACUGGUCUGCUAGUAAACAGUCUACUGCUAGCCAGGUGACUUGUGUGCACGGAACACGCCUCCCACAGGGUAACUCGGCCACAGAUCAUUGAAAUACCGCUUUGCCUUCAUUGCUUUGCGUUACUACCCUGGGAAUCGUGAUCGGGGGAUACGUGCUUGUUUACUCACGCCGGGAAUAUUGAAAAGUCGUGGGGAUUUACAACGAGACGAAUACUACUUCGAGAAAGCCACAAGUGGUUGGGCAAUUGAUUGACGGCUGUGGCCAGAUCGAGGAGAUCAGACGAGCAUUAUUGCAAAGCCCAGGGCGGAGCUGUGGAACCAGUGUGGCGGCGGGAAGUGAGUGCUUGAAGCGAGUCGCCUCCCGGAGUGAAGGAGAGCCCGAAGUGUGCGUGUGAAGUGAGGCAUCCUGACGGCGAGAUAAGUGAGUGCCAGGCGCGCCUCGCACCGCCCGCAACACACCAGGUGAGUUGGUGGCUCGUGAGUAACCCUUCAGGAGGCCCGCGCCCCUCGCAGGUAAGGGCGGGACAUCUGACACUUCGACCCUUCGACCUUCCAACCUUCCAUUCAGUCAGAUAUGCAAGAAAGUUCUCAUCACUUAUUGCUGUGGAAGGAACAUGACAAAGGAGACAAGAGGCAAUGUGGAAACCAGCCACCAAUACUGCCAUUAGAACAGCGGCCAAUAAUGGAUUAAAAUUUGCAAGUAACGACACGUACGAGUAAACUUGCAUACAUAAUUCACAAAAGUAGAUAACGGGAAGAGAUUUUACUUGUUCAUAUAUUUACUCGUAUAUCUAUUGGUUUAUGACUACACGCAUUUAUUUCUUGGCUUGUUCUACUUGUUUAUUGAGGCGACGUGGCGGUGGUGGUGGUGGUAGUAGUGGUGGUGGUGGUGGUGGUGAGGGUUUCAGGAAGGCAGUCGAGCGGAAAACUCAUUUUGAACGCAAGGAACACGCCUUAGAAUUGAAUUAACCUUGUGAUGGUGGUGGUGGUGGUGGUUACGGUGGCAGUGGUGGUGUCAGUGGUGCAUGAAAAGUACAUUCGCCCCAAGAAGUGAUGACAUGAAAUCUAUUGAAAUAUCUUGAAAGUUUUGCAGAAUAUAUUUAUUUGAGGCCUUUGUGCGUGUUAUCCUUUUAAAACUGAUGAUGAUAAUGAUGAUGGUAGUAAUAAUAGUAAUAAUAAUAAUGAUAAUAAUAAUUUGUGGUUUAUUUACCAGGAAAGUUACAAGAUAUGAUGAUAACGUGAUGACUUACCUUACGAUCAAAAGUCUGAAGAUACAUCACUUAUUAAAAAUUGAAAGGGAGAAAUUUAUCAAAUAUAAGCAAAGACGUACUGGUAUUUUGUACACGCAAUGACUUUCUUGAACAAAUAAAUAAAUAAGCAAGCCAUAAAAGAGGUAGUUGAGAUGUUGGUGGCUCUGAUUUAUUUCCUGUUCACUUUCAUCUGGGAUUGUGAAAGGUUAGGUAGGUGAUGUCUUCUUAAGUGAUAAUGAUGAUGAUGAUGAUGAUGAUGAUGAUGAUGAUGAUGACCAAACUGUAUGUAAGAAAAAUAUAAUAAAAGUUAAAAAUGCUGAUGUUACUUUAUGUAUACAUGUAUGUUUUGCCUUAGGAAUUUACUAUGAACCAUCCAAGAACCACUAAGGAAGGUCCGUUCAACCAUACAUCCAUCCAUACAUCCUAAGGUUUACGUCGUAUUCAUCUAUCGAUCUAUCUAUCCAUUCAUCCUCUACUAUCUAUCCAUUCAUUUAAGGGCUAUUCACCCAUUCUUUCAUCUAUUUAUAUAUCUGUUUAUCCAUCCAUCCAUUUCUUUAAUACUCUAUUUGUUUAUAUAUCUGUUUAUCUAUCUAUAUAUCUAUCUAUCUAUCUAUCUAUCUAUCUAUCUAUCUAUAUGUUUCUGUAUCUACCUAUCUGUCUAUCUUCAUCCAUUCAUUUAUCUAUCCAUAUAUUUAUUAAUUUCUAAGAAUCUAAAAAUAACCCCCUUCACUUAAUUACAUACCAUUAUCUUAAAUGCUCUAAAUAAACCAUUCAUUUUCUACACUCCUUCACCAUUCACCACCUCCAUCACUACCACAGCUACAUUCCCAUACUCAUCAUCAUUUCCUGUCACGCUGUUCUUUAUUGUGUGUGUGUGUGUGUGUGUGUGUGUGUGUGUGUGUGUGUGUGUGUGUGUGUGUGUGUGUGUGUGUGUGUGUGUUGAGCGAUGCACCUAGUAUCGCCAAUAAAGGUUGUAAAUUGUAAAUGUUUGAUAAAAGGUUUGACUGUAAACAAGAUUGCGUUGUGGCUGUUUUUAAUGAUAUACGUGUGUGUGUGUGUGUGUGUGUGUGUGUGUGUGUGUGUGUGUGUGUACCUAAAAUGUAAC
This is a long non-coding RNA of Scylla paramamosain (green mud crab), 5029 nucleotides long. RefSeq lists it as uncharacterized. NCBI's taxonomy places the organism in Eukaryota, Metazoa, Arthropoda, Malacostraca, Decapoda, Portunidae. The record is from RefSeq and is a predicted model, not a curated record. The transcript has 3 exons.